This 253-nucleotide ribosomal RNA is filed under the name uncultured bacterium. Its description in RNAcentral is "partial 16S ribosomal RNA". It matches the Rfam family "Bacterial small subunit ribosomal RNA", at positions 524 to 776 of the family's 1533-position model. The record is from RNAcentral.
UACGGAGGGAGCUAGCGUUAUUCGGAAUUACUGGGCGUAAAGCGCGUGUAGGCGGCCCUGCAAGUCGGAUGUGAAAUCCCACGGCUCAACCGUGGAAGUGCAUUCGAAACUGCAGGGCUAGAGCCCUGGAGAGGAAGGUGGAAUGCUUGGUGUAGCGGUGAAAUGCGCAGAUAUCAGGAGGAACACCGAUGGCGAAGGCAGGUCUCUGGGCCACUACUGACGCUGAGAAGCGAAAGCAUGGGGAGCGAACAGG